Molecule: ribosomal RNA, 253 nt
Filed under: uncultured bacterium
Lineage: Bacteria
Description: partial 16S ribosomal RNA
Rfam family: Bacterial small subunit ribosomal RNA
Source: RNAcentral
UACGUAGGGGGCGAGCGUUGUCCGGAAUCAUUGGGCGUAAAGCGCGUGUAGGCGGAUCUGUAAGUCAAUUGUGAAAGCCCUGGGCUUAACCUGGGAAUUGCAGUUGAAACUGCAGACCUUGAAUGCUUGAGAGGAUGACGGAAUUCCUGGUGUAGAAGUGAAAUUCGUAGAUAUCAGGAGGAACACCCGAGGCGAAGGCGGUUAUCUGGCAAUGCAUUGACGCUGAGGUGCGAAAGCGUGGGUAGCAAACAGG